This is a non-coding RNA of Lepisosteus oculatus (spotted gar), 89 nucleotides long. The record is from Rfam. NCBI's taxonomy places the organism in Eukaryota, Metazoa, Chordata, Actinopteri, Semionotiformes, Lepisosteidae.
GUAUGGCAAAAUCCUAUCACCACCUCCUCGCGGUGCCAGCUGGAUACAACGAUUCGUUGGAACUAACGGUGAAGAUCUCUGAUGGCAGG